UACAGAGACUGCAAGCGUUAUUCGGAUUCACUGGGCGUAAAGGGUGCGCAGGCGGCCGUGUGUGUGAGGCGUGAAAGCCCGGGGCUUAACCCCGGAAUUGCACCUCAAACUACAUGGCUAGAGCAUUGGAGAGGGUAGCAGAAUUCAUGGUGUAGCAGUGAAAUGCGUAGAUAUCAUGAGGAAUACCAGAGGCGAAGGCGGCUCCCUGGACAAUUGCUGACGCUCAGGCACGAAAGCGUGGGGAGCAAAAGGG
Molecule: ribosomal RNA, 253 nt
Filed under: uncultured bacterium
Lineage: Bacteria
Description: partial 16S ribosomal RNA
Rfam family: Bacterial small subunit ribosomal RNA
Source: RNAcentral